RNAcentral lists this ribosomal RNA (451 nucleotides) under uncultured soil bacterium. Its description in RNAcentral is "bacterial SSU rRNA". It matches the Rfam family "Bacterial small subunit ribosomal RNA", at positions 951 to 1384 of the family's 1533-position model. The record is from RNAcentral.
UAGUGAUUAACGCGAAGAACCUUACCUGGGCUAGACAACGGCGGACCGUCCUAGAAAUAGGAUCUUCCCUUCGGGGACUGCCGGUUCAGGUGCUGCAUGGCUGUCGUCAGCUCGUGCCGUGAGGUGUUGGGUUAAGUCCCGCAACGAGCGCAACCCUCGUCCUUAGUUGCCACCAUUCAGUUGGGCACUCUAAGGAGACUGCCGGCGUUAAGCCGGAGGAAGGUGGGGACGACGUCAAGUCAUCAUGGCCCUUAUGUCCAGGGCCACACACGUGCUACAAUGGGCGGUACAAAGGGUCGCAAACCCGCGAGGGGGAGCUAAUCCCAAAAAGCCGCUCUCAGUUCGGAUUGGAGUCUGCAACUCGACUCCAUGAAGUUGGAAUCGCUAGUAAUCGCGGAUCAGCACGCCGCGGUGAAUACGUUCCCGGGCCUUGUCACACCGAAUCGAAUUC